UACGUAGGGGGCAAGCGUUGUCCGGAAUCAUUGGGCGUAAAGAGCGUGUAGGCGGCCCGGUAAGUCCGCCGUGAAAGUCCAGGGCUCAACCCUGGGAUGCCGGUGGAAACUGUCGGGCUCGAGUCCGGAAGAGGCGAGUGGAAUUCCUGGUGUAGCGGUGAAAUGCGCAGAUAUCAGGAGGAACACCAAUAGCGAAGGCAGCUCGCUGGGACGGUACUGACGCUGAGACGCGAAAGCGUGGGGAGCAAACAGG
This 253-nucleotide ribosomal RNA is filed under the name uncultured bacterium. RNAcentral describes it as "partial 16S ribosomal RNA". It matches the Rfam family "Bacterial small subunit ribosomal RNA", at positions 524 to 776 of the family's 1533-position model. The record is from RNAcentral.